This 974-nucleotide ribosomal RNA is filed under the name uncultured bacterium. RNAcentral describes it as "bacterial SSU rRNA". It matches the Rfam family "Bacterial small subunit ribosomal RNA", at positions 534 to 1501 of the family's 1533-position model. The record is from RNAcentral.
UGGGGGGCUUUCCGGGAUUAUUGGGCGUAAGAGCUCGUAGGCGGUUUGUCGCGUCUGCCGUGAAAGUCCGGGGCUCAACUCCGGAUCUGCGGUGGGUACGGGCAGACUAGAGUGAUGUAGGGGAGACUGGAAUUCCUGGUGUAGCGGUGAAAUGCGCAGAUAUCAGGAGGAACACCGAUGGCGAAGGCAGGUCUCUGGGCAUUAACUGACGCUGAGGAGCGAAAGCAUGGGGAGCGAACAGGAUUAGAUACCCUGGUAGUCCAUGCCGUAAACGUUGGGCACUAGGUGUGGGGGACAUUCCACGUUUUCCGCGCCGUAGCUAACGCAUUAAGUGCCCCGCCUGGGGAGUACGGCCGCAAGGCUAAAACUCAAAGGAAUUGACGGGGGCCCGCACAAGCGGCGGAGCAUGCGGAUUAAUUCGAUGCAACGCGAAGAACCUUACCAAGGCUUGACAUGGGCCGGACCGGGCUGGAAACAGUCCUUCCCCUUUGGGGCCGGUUCACAGGUGGUGCAUGGUUGUCGUCAGCUCGUGUCGUGAGAUGUUGGGUUAAGUCCCGCAACGAGCGCAACCCUCGUUCCAUGUUGCCAGCGCGUAAUGGCGGGGACUCAUGGGAGACUGCCGGGGUCAACUCGGAGGAAGGUGGGGACGACGUCAAAUCAUCAUGCCCCUUAUGUCUUGGGCUUCACGCAUGCUACAAUGGCCGGUACAAAGGGUUGCGAUACUGUGAGGUGGAGCUAAUCCCAAAAAGCCGGUCUCAGUUCGGAUUGGGGUCUGCAACUCGACCCCAUGAAGUCGGAGUCGCUAGUAAUCGCAGAUCAGCAACGCUGCGGUGAAUACGUUCCCGGGCCUUGUACACACCGCCCGUCAAGUCACGAAAGUUGGUAACACCCGAAGCCGGUGGCCUAACCCCUUGUGGGAGGGAGCUGUCGAAAGGUGGGACUGGCGAUUGGGACUAAGUCGUAACAAGGUAACC